GGCUCAGUAGCUUAGUUGGUAAGGUACUCGUCCAGCAUACAAGAGUCGAGGGAUCGAAUCCCACCUGAGCAU
Molecule: non-coding RNA, 72 nt
Organism: Aedes aegypti (yellow fever mosquito)
Lineage: Eukaryota; Metazoa; Arthropoda; Insecta; Diptera; Culicidae
Source: Rfam